CUCCUCUCUUAAAACCCCCAGUGGGCUUUUUGCUAAUGAACCACUGAGCCAUCAAGAAAGGACAGAGCGGCUGAGUAUGACGACACAUGCCUGUAAAUAAUCCUCUAUAUCUUCAAGUUCUAUAUCCAACCUUGGCUUGAAAAUA
This is a small nucleolar RNA of Cavia aperea (Brazilian guinea pig), 145 nucleotides long. The record is from Ensembl. NCBI's taxonomy places the organism in Eukaryota, Metazoa, Chordata, Mammalia, Rodentia, Caviidae.